AAGUCGUAACAAGGUAACCGUAGGUGAACCUGCGGUUGGAUCAUUAAUGAAUGAUUAAAGAGUUUAUUCUCUUUAAGCUUUAUAAGUUGGGUAUUAAGUCUUUAUAGACUUUUUACUCAAUGAACCUUGUGUGAACAUGUUAACUGUCUUUGGUGAGAGUUUUUAUGAUAUUCAUUUAUCAUGGCUCACCAAAAUAUAUGAUUAAACAUUUGUUUUUAUAUAAAAAGUCUUGAAUUCAAUAUAUUUAAAUUGAAAACAACUUUUGACAACGGAUCUCUUGGCUCUC
Molecule: unclassified non-coding RNA, 286 nt
Filed under: fungal sp.
Lineage: Eukaryota; Fungi
Description: partial internal transcribed spacer region
Rfam family: Eukaryotic small subunit ribosomal RNA (bases 1-46)
Source: RNAcentral